UUGCAUUUUUAGUAGAGACGGGGUUUCACCAUGUUGGUCAGGCUGGUCUUGAACUCCUGAUCUCGUGAUCUGCCUGCCUCGGCCUCCCAAAGUGCUGGGAUUACAGGCAUGAGCCACCGCGCCCGGCCCCCACAUUGAUUUUUUAAGUGAGAGUAGAUUCGUAAGUUAGCAAGCAGCCUGAGUAAUAGAGGUGUUCAGAAAAACAUUUCAAUUUCCUAUUCCAAAGCUGCAAUAUACAAGCUAUUAAAUUUCUAAUAUUACCCUUGUUGGAGAGUGUCUUAUAAUAUAGUAGCCUCUAUUUCUGAUUCUCCAAAGGAAUGGCUCUAAAUAAAUGUUCAUAUCUUUGUAUAGAUAUUGAUUUCUGUAUUAUCUAUCUGCAGGGUGUUCCUGAAAAUGAAAGGAGAACUACCAAAGCAGAGAGUGCUUGGCUUUUCCGGAUGUGGUACAACUUUGAUCAUAACUAUCUGAAGCCUCUGCUGACCCACAGCGGGCCUCCGCUGACAACAACACUCCCUGCCUGCUGUGGACCCAUCGCCAGGUGCCUCACCAGCCCCCAGGCUUACGAAAACCAGGAACAGUUGAAAG
Molecule: small RNA, 585 nt
Filed under: Pan troglodytes (chimpanzee)
Lineage: Eukaryota; Metazoa; Chordata; Mammalia; Primates; Hominidae
Description: retained intron
Source: RNAcentral